Cercocebus atys (sooty mangabey) is the source of this 109-nucleotide ribosomal RNA. NCBI's taxonomy places the organism in Eukaryota, Metazoa, Chordata, Mammalia, Primates, Cercopithecidae. The record is from Ensembl.
AUCUACCACCAUACCACCCUGAACGCACCUGAUCUCGGAAGGUAAGCAGGGUGGGGCCUGGUUAGUACUUGAAUGGGAGACCCUCUGGGAAUACCAGGUGCUGUAGGCU